Long non-coding RNA from Carya illinoinensis, 831 nucleotides. RefSeq lists it as uncharacterized. Lineage: Eukaryota; Viridiplantae; Streptophyta; Magnoliopsida; Fagales; Juglandaceae. The transcript is spliced from 2 exons. The record is from RefSeq and is a predicted model, not a curated record.
AAUAAUAUUUCGUGAAAUGGUGAAAAAAUAAUGAGAAUUAAGAUGAUUAUUAAUAUUACUUUUAUAAAAAUAAUAGUUUACAUUUAAAAAAUAUAAAAAAAAAAAAAAAAAUCUUAUUGCAGCCCCCAUUCGGCGUGUACAAUGCAGGCAUAAAUGAAAUGAAAUGCAGUGUUUUAUUAUUAAAUGAAACAAAACAGACCUGCUCUAGGUCUUCUGGCCCUCGCCCCAGACCCAUUCAUCUCCAUACCUACAGCCGAAGCUUGCCCAAGCUCAUCGUGCGUCGCCAUCGCCGUGGAUGUCUCCGUCGUUGCUCCCUUGAGCAAGCUACGUCGUCAUCACUCGUAGAGUAUUUCAUCCAUUCUCUGUGAUUUGAAAUGUUUUUGGGAAGGCCAUACUGAGAAUACUUUUUAUGGGUAGAUAUUGAAACAAAACCUGAAGGAAAAAUUGUGAGCGAAAGAGAACGUUGUCUCCAAAAGAGAGAGGAAGAACUCCAAAAGAGGAAGGAAGAACUCCAACAUAAAAUUGUACAGUUUCAAAAAUCACGAUGACAUCCAAAAUGAUCAGGAUGUGCUUCAUGGUGUAAUGAAAGAUAUUAACCAUACACGAACCACAUGCAACCCUGCAUAUAUUGGGGACUUGCAAUUCUAAUAUUUUGCUAUUAGAUAGGAUCAAGAACAAUUACAAAUUAGUAGUAGUGUGUAUCAAACUAUGUAAUGUUGUUAAGUAGGUUGUAAUAGAUAAGUUUACAACCUUUAUCAAUAUUGUAAUAUUAAACCCAUCAGACUUGUGAACAUUAUGAAUGGUUAUGAGAAGUAUUUUCCUUGCACUGUA